RNAcentral lists this long non-coding RNA (9903 nucleotides) under Gallus gallus (chicken). Its description in RNAcentral is "lncRNA (ENSGALG00010005912.1)". The record is from RNAcentral. Lineage: Eukaryota; Metazoa; Chordata; Aves; Galliformes; Phasianidae.
CGCGGGGUGGCCGAGGCUCACCCCCGCGCAACGGAACUGUUGGUGCGCUCCGACGGCGCGGAAGCCUCCGCCGAGCGCCGCCUUCUGACAGGAGCAACCACCAUCAACAAGCCUACUGCCCACUGUGGGAGAAGUAACAGUUCUAUUGAUGCAUCUCAGUGGGGAUGAAUUUCAGAAACAGCACUGCAGCCUCACUUUCUCUUUAGAGAGGUAUCAACACACAUAUACAAGAUCCUGGAUUUGUGCAAGUCACACAGGGACAAAAAUUAAGUUUGACACACUGUGUCUAGUACUGACAGACAGCAGAAGAAAUGAUUUCCUUGAGCUACGUGCUGUAGCUUUUACUAUAGUCGGUUUUGAUUGUGGUUUAAGAACAGAUACUGUAUUUCUAGCAUAUACGUUGUUGCUACUCCAGUCCACAGGGAAGCUGAAAAUUUUCAUGCUUUUUGUGUGAGCUUUGUUAAAAGAUUUGAGAUGCUGAACAAACAAAUUUUUGCUAUUCAGUUAAACUUUAAUAUCCUGAGUAAGACAGCAAUGUGCUUAAUACAGAGGAACUUGCAAAGGUUUCUUAACAGAAAUCUUUCUCUGAAAAGGGAAUAGCAUGUCACUAUUGUUUUAUUGAAUCAGAUUUUCUAGUUCUCCUUUUCUGCGUAUUUAAGUAAGUACUGUUGGAGGCAUGAGGAGAAGACGAAAAUGAUUCAAACAGUAGAUUCUCACUUAAUAAUCAACUAUUUCCUGGAUCACAAGGGGUAUUUUUCCUAGGUAUUUAGUUAUGUAAAUAAAGCUCUGUGUAGUGCAAAAUCCUACAGUAAAAAUAAAUGCCUCAGAACAAUACCAGCAGUUUUCUAUUGUUCACCAGAUAUUACUCCUGGGGAUAAAAUCAAUUUGAGAUUUCCUGUGUUUUGUAUGAUAAGAAUCUCCUGUCUGUCCACAAACAGAUUACUUUUCACAACAUUACGAAUCAAUUAAUCAGUAAAAUGGACCAAACCAUGCAGACAGAUUAAACAAACUUUUCCUCAUCAUUUAAAAAAAUAAAUAAAAAUCUAUAUUUAAAGCAAUGGUGAAAUUUUUGACUGCAAAAUGUAUCUUAAUACACUGCAAGCAAUUGAACAGCCAUAGAAAGAUCAUCUCAAGAUUACUAGUCCUAUUUAAUAGUCCUAACAGUCAGGCAGAUGCAAUUCAUCUAUCACACCUCAGGCCAACUGAGGAGAAAGAAAUACAAAUUAAAACAAUCAAACAAAAAACAAAACAACAAAAGACAGCCUCUUAUUGUAUGCAAAAAGAUGGGACAAAUAGUAUUUUUCAAGUCACCAUUUUGUUAUUUGAGUUCGCACCAUUCCUUGAAAGCACUCUGUUUAGACUCCUUGUGAGUGUAAAUCAUUACUUUUGAGGAAAAAAUAAUGAGAAAAGAGAAAGAGGAACAUGGAAGUUUUUCAGAUUAAGGGCACGAUCCUGUUUCUGUUGGACAAAGUUCUUCUAAGUUCCAUGUUGCCUGCAUUUUGUGUGUCUGGAGAGUUUAAGGAAAGCCUGAAACAGUCCAAAUAGCAUGUAAAACCUUUGAGCUAUACCCUGUUUAAUAAUUCUUUCAACCCUAGUUGUAGCUGAAUCAAAUCAACAAUAACAGUAACUACAGGGCAUUCCUAUUUAUCUUAGGAGCCACCAUGUGCAUAUCUACUUAAGGAGCAGAUUCACAAAGGAAUUCAAGCCAACUUAAGCCUCAUUACUGAUUUAAGAAAGCAAAACAAAACUGCUGUCUUCUUUUUACCUCCAUGAAUCUGGCUCUGCUUCUCAAGUGGAUGUACAGUGUAACAUUGGCUGGAGAAAAGAACUGAGGCAUCUGAGAAUUAACCCUGUUAUUAAAAAGCAUUCCAGCUUACUGCUUGAACAGAGUUGCACCAAUAGAAGAAAGCAGUGGCUCAGGGCAGGAGCUUGGACCAGGCUUUGCAAAGGAAACCUAGGCUGUGAGUGACCUCAGCCAUCUGCAGAAACACCAGGAAGCUGAUGAAACCUUACUUGGCAUGAAAUGGGCAUGCAGGGACAACACAGAGGAUAUAACUUUGUCACUGUUUUGGUUUGGAUGAGAAGCAUGCAUGCUUUGGGUUCAUGUGAAGGAAUGAUUUUAGAUGUAACUGAACUAUAAAGUGCUUGCUAUGGGUGCAGUCAUUGUGUUCACUCAGUCCACAAGCCAAAAAGCAUCAGCUGAUCCAGUCUACAAAAUUCACUCCCAGGCUGCACUAAUUGCAGAUAUAGACAUAACUAUGCCUUCCAUCCUGGGGUUAACUUCAGUCAUUUACUGCUGCCUGCACUGAAAGCACUGCUGCUGUUUGCUCAGCCAAAAAUCUGACGACAGAGGGGCAGAGUAUGUGUAACUCUGUUUAUUAAUAUUUAUCUUUUCCCCACAAAUCUUCCUGCUGAAUGAAGGAAAUAUUACUUAUAUUCUGCUAUACUAUUGGAGUUCUGGAGAUGCACUCUCAUCUGAAGCAUAAAGGAAUUAAUUCUGAUUUGGAUUAUUUUGUCUCUGGUAUUCGUAGGGAUGUAGUUCUCAGCUUUGGAAGAGAUGGAAGGCAGGGAGAAAGUCAAUAUCCUCUUUCAGCAGCUUCCAGAUAGCACAGUGCCUACAAGAGAGUCAUCUACACUGUUAGGAACUAGAACUGAACAGAUAAUUAUUGUUUUUCUGUUUGGGAAAGAAAGGAAACAGAGGAAGGAAAAGUAUGUUAGAUGGAGUCUGAUAGUGCUGGCUCCUAAACUGGAAAACCAUGACCACAGGAUAUAAUCUCUUUCUUCCAUUUCUUGUUUUUUUGUACUAGAUAUGACAAGGUGAAGUCUGAAAGAAAACCAAGUGAUUUGUUACGAAUCAUUUAUUCUUCAAGUUGAUCAAGAAAGCAGUGAUUGUUACUGAUCAGGCAAUACUAUGUAAAUAAAACAAUAGGAGGCAACAUAGGAAGCUAAAUUGGCAUGGAUUGCCAGUUUACAAAGAAACACCAAGGGAAAGAACAACAACAUGAAAAAAAAAACAAUGCACAAAGCUGUACCUGGGCAGUACUGCCAGGAAAAAGACAUUGGAUCCAAAUCUGCAAUUAGAUGAACAGGGCAUGGUAAUGGUUUCAGGGUAGAAAGAUUAAAAUUGAUAGGAAGUCCUUGUGGCUGAGGUGGGAGGCUUGGUGGUUCUAUAUGGAAGCCCCAGAUACAGCCUGCAUCAGACAAAAGGAACUGAGAAAAAGUACUAAGGAAGGUUUAUAAAUUUAUUUGGAUUUCAGUAGAUUAUUUUUCUAUAUGCUGACAACCAAAAAUAAAUUUCAGGUACUGCUUUUUUUCAUUGCUACUCCUUCAUGAAAGAAGCAUGGAAGUUAAGUAAUUUCAUGAGUUAACAAAAAGAUUUUAUCCUUUCUCUUAAGAUGCUAACAAUUAAAAUAUAUGUAGCAGGAUUUUCCCUAGGGUAACUCUACAGUUCUUCAAGGUACAAGGGCAUAUUAGAGAUUACACAGUUAUUAUAAAACCAGUGUAAUGGCAACACAUGCUGUCACCUGGCAGUAUGUGUCUAAUUGAUCUUACUCAAUUACUUAAUUUUAUGACUCGCUUUAGUAAAGGUUAAGACAUUGAUGUUUUAGAAGGCUGUGCUGAAUAAUACCAUUGUUGGAGAUUACUUUCUCAUGUAAUUGCUUCAUUAAAAGCAGGUAAAUAGAGGAAGAGUCAUCCUGUCAGGAAGCACACUGAAACGGAAUAUCCUAUGUCAAAGCAACAGCAUUACUGUCUUACAUACGUAUGUUUUCUAGUGUCUCCCUUUUUGGAGUGGGAAAUACUUGCCUCUUUUUGACUUGCAUAAAUGACAGUAAACUCAAGUGAGAAACUCCUCUACAAUUUUAGCAUUUUUAAGCAUGACAGGGAACAAGAAGGAAAGGCAGCUCAGUGGGCUCUUUGUAGGCCUGUCAACAAAUAUUUGUACUUCAACAAGUAUUUUCAACUGCAAAGCCACAGUUUAUGUGUAGGUGGGAAAGGGUGCUGUGGUUCAGAAGCAAUACUCACUGCAUGCAUGUUCAAGAUAUGCAAAGGAAAAUUUAUUCCAGAGCCUUUGCUAUGGAGCAGUGUCUCUGUAUCCAGUCCUCUUCUGUUAUCCCAGUUUCCCUAAUGCAAUUUUAGUCAGACAAUCUGUGGUCAUAGGCUGAGUGAAGUAUUUAGUCCUUCACUGAAGGGACUUGUGAAGCCACAUUUAGGGAUCAGGAGGGAAAAAUGUGUCAUGUUUUUUCAUACAGCCCUGUGUUGUUACGAUGUUUCCAGUUCUUCUCUGUCAAGGUGAUGCUCAUAUACCUUCACAGGAAACUGCAUGCUGUAAAUAUCGUGGCUUUGAUAACCAUUGUUGAUGUUAUCCUAGCAGGCAAAUAUCAGUACCUUCAAGCUGUUGCCUGCUAGAACCUUCUCAUCCUUUCUUUCUGUCUUUCCCUGGACCUGCCCAGCAGCCAGCUGGAAGACACCCUUCCAGCUCCCAACACUGGGUGUGUCUGGUCUCCCAGCAGAGGAUGCUGAAGGAGUGUCAAUGGGAGCAGAUACAGUUCACCUCACAGGAGAUGGGACCAUUUCUGGGGGAGAUACAGGAGGAGAUUCAAUAGAGCUGUCUCAGUAGAGCAGUGGAGGCUCUAGAAAGGGCGGCACUGCUUCACCACCAUGUUUUUUCUCUACUCUUUUUUGUAGGCCUUUUUCUGGGGAUGCAGAAUGCCCAUGCCCUGGAUUCUUUGGUGGAGUUUUACUGUACGCAUCCUUCCCAUAUACAGCAGGAGCAGACCUAUGCAAGCUCACUCUCCAAUAAACAACAUUUAAACCAAAUGGUUUAGUUCGAUCUCUUGACUCAUUUGUCUUUCACUUAGAGCAGUGAAUCUAAUGCAACAAAUAUCAUAAUUUCCCUCCCUUUGUUUUUUUGUUUGUUUGUUUGUUUGUUUGUUUUGUCUGCUAUCCCCAUUGGAACACAUCUGCUUUCAUUGGUAGUAGUGCUACCAUGGAAGCACAUGCUGCUUCUCCACUCUGCUCCUUCAUUGAGUUCGGCCACUUCUUACUCUUCUAGAACUAAAGUAUAUGAGCUUGCAUUUGGCUACUUCAGAAGGCAUGUUAGUUGAACGAGCCCAGUUUAUCCUGGAAACUGGAUCACACUCUGUAGUGUCCAUUGUCAUCACCAUUUAUUACUUCAUCUGCGCUUUUGGCUCUGCAAAAAGAGACAAAAAAAAAACCCCAAACAAACAAACAAACAAAAAAAACCCAAAACAUUAUUUGAUUUUUUAAAUAUGUUUCCAGAUUAUUCAUAAAAUUAUUACCGGCUCUUGGGUUUUUAAGGUUUUGAUGCUAUUUUGUAAGAUCUGUAAUAUAACAUAUCUUUUUUUCCCAUGUGCCUUAUUAAUGUUAUGCAAUACUAAAUCAUUUUAGUUUGAAGGCCACAAAGUAUCAAGUUAAAUACUGUUCCUAAGUGUAUUACCUCAGCACUGUUGCAAACAUCAAUAUAUUUUUAAGUUCAGCAGAGAACAACCUGAGUUCAGCUGACGAGGCCUUUUUGCAAAACUCUUAGAGUGUUAAUCUGCUUUCAUUGACUGAACUUCAUCUUUUACAUUUUAUAAAUUAUGAGGUCAACCACGUUGUUUGAGUUCAGCUUUGGAGGAUUUCCAUUGUACGCUCAGCAAGGCAGAAAACUCCUCAGCUAGAUCUUCUACAACUACUGACUGAAAGAUAUCUGUGCUCUCCUUUUACCAUAUUUGUUUCUAAUAAAUGUGUUUUAGUAUUUAACUUGUAGACUGGCAAACUGUACAAUAUUCUGAUCAGAUAUAAAUACUUCAUCUUCUCCUUAUCAAAUACCACUAAGCAGCUAACCACUGAACACAUUUUGCAUCAUUAGCUCUCUUAUGUCAGUCUAGUACCAAGCAUUUACUGACAUUCUAACUUAUUUUCACAGAACCACAGGAGUUGCUACCACCUCUCUGGGCAGCCUUUUCCAGAGCUUCGUCACUCCAACAGUAAAGAAGUUUAUUGUGUUUAUACUUCAGGUUUCCUUCUAUUGUCUCUAGGUUUUCUAGACUUGAAUUUUCUUUGGCUUCAUUUGGGUGUUUUUUUAUUGUUGUGUUUAUGAUUGCUGCCUACUUUUAAUUAUUGACAUUCCUUCCUUUUCCAGAAAGCGCUUUUAAUAAAAGUGUUUUUUAAUAUCAAAAUAUUGUGGAACACAAUAAAUCUUCUGAUAUACAUCCUGAUUUUUGUUAAUACCAUGAUGUUUCUUGACUUUUUUUUUUCUUAAGAGAAAACAAAUCAGGCAGAUGUAGACAAUUUAUCCACAUGAGUGUAUCUCAGUGUAUGGUAACUGUUGAGUCACAACCUGAACCACUGAUUGAGCAGCUGGGGAAAGGACCAGGUCAGCCCUGGGAGCAAGAGGUGAAGGUGAUUCUCCUGUGUGACCAGAAGGCGUGGAGCCUGGCUGCACCUCUCUUAGACCCCAUUUAAGGGCUGACUGCCACUGGGGAAGGAUCUCUUUCUGGAGAUCCCUUUUUGGUGGAGUUUUGCUCUGUGAACCUGGAAUCUUCAGAUGCAAGUGAGCAAUCUUCUCUCCUUCCUUUAUAGCAUCUUUCCCAUCAUAUUGAUCCGUGCAAUUGCUACACUCAGUAAAUACAAACACAUAGGUAAUGCCCACUAAUACAUAAUUACGUGCACAUAUGAAAGAGCUUGGCUGAGCCUGUGCUCUGUCUGCCCUUGUUUGAUGUAAUUAGUUGUGACCACUUUUCUUCAGGCAAUCACAAGCUUCCAGCCUUGCAGUCAUUCCACCUCUACCCACCACACUCGGGUCUGUAUGCGUGGUACCUAUUUUGUGCUGAAAAAUUGUUGCUGGUAACUUCUGGAAACUCUAAUGCAGCUUUACCACUGUCUUCAUGACGCUUCCAUUCUUCACAAAUCAGUGAUGAUAAUGCCAGUUUUAUUUUCACAUAGCAUUGACAGGCACUUAAGGGCUUAUUAGCUUUUCUUAUUUUUUUUUUUUUUAAAUUGCUUUUAGCAUUGAUGACUAAAUGCUUUCCAUACAUUAUUCAUUUUUACAUUGCAUCAAACUGUAAAGAAGUAUGUGAUAUACUAGAAAAACUACAGUUUUGGUCCCUGAUUGAUUUUCUUUCAUAGCUUUUGUGUUUCAUUAUCUUUCAGUGAUUAAUGAUAUUUUAUAGCAUUGUAUUAUUAAUGUAGUCAUACAAAUUAAAUUUGUGUAUAACUGACAUCUAAAUCUUAACCAAGUGGCACCAAAAGCAACAUAGCAAUAGACAAGAUAAGAGUUCAGCCUUGGUAUUACCAUUUUCCUCAUGUUGCAUUUGAUGCUACAGAUAAGUAGUAACUGACAAAGAAAAUUCAUUGACUUGAUUCCAACUGACAAGAUUUCACAUAUGCUGGAACAUAUCUUGUUGCAGUUUCUGUAAAAAUGGAUACUGUUGUUUAACUUUUCUUUUAAAUUAUUUUUUGCUUUACCUAAGAUAUUCUAAGGUGUUCCUACACUUGCUUUCAUUGUUCAUCAGCAGGUAGCAUAUGAGUAAACAGAAAGCACACAGGAAAUAUUGCUAUCCUUCUGUUGUUAUUACAAAUUUGAUUUGGCGUGUUAAUAACGUGACUGUCAAAGCUGUUUAUAUUUAAAUGUUCAGUGAAGAUAAUCAUCACUAUAGAGUUUGGGCUCAGAAAAGGGUGAUAUCUUCCUCCAGAAGCAAAUCUGUGAUGGAAAUUUCCAUGCAGAUCACUUGACAGGAGAUUACAAGUUUUUCUGCAGGCCAGAUACAGACUGAGAGAUACAGAACAUGCAGAUGCUUUCAUCUUGGAGUUGCCAAAUGUACUGCAGUUCCUUUUUGCUUUCUUACUCAAAACCCACUCAAAAGUGGGUCAUACCCAAUUUUGCUUCAGUAAAAGCAUUUAAGUAACAAAAUAUGCAUUGGAUUCUGGAAAAUACAUACCGAGUCAUGCACAGAGCUCCACAGGGCUAUGUGAAGAAGGCUUCCAAAGGAGAGAUCACGUCUAGAACCCUCCUGUAGAUGGAUCACAGGCUGUUGGGCAUGUUGAAAAUGCUGUUGCGUUGGCAGACAAGCUUUGGCAAGCUGCUUCAUAGAGGCUGAAAGGAGGUUUUGCUUCCAGCUCCACUCCUCUGCUGGAAUUACUGUCUGCACAGUAAUGGGGGAAUGCAGACCUUUGACUUAGCAGCUCUGGUGCAAAGGGUAAAACAUUCACCUUUGCUAAAGGUUAAAACUGAAAUGCUUUUCUGGAAGCAUAGGUGAAUUUGCACUAAAACAUCAAACUGAGUAGAAGAAAGAGAAGCACUUGAUUCCUCCUGCUGCUCUGGUGGUUGGGAAGAUGGGAUGGAAAAGGUGAGCGGCCUUCCAUGAGGUGCAGCACAGAAGGAGGGCUAACUGGCAUUAGUCAGGGGAUGGUGAGCAAUUUCUCGUGCAUCACUUGUUAUACACAUUCAUAUAUAUAUAUAUAUAUAUAUGUCUUUGUCAUAACUAUUAUCCUUUUCCUUUUCUCUAUCUUAGUAAAUAGUUCUAUCUCAACCUGCGAGUUCUACUUCAUUUUUUUCAGUUCUCUCCCCAUCCCACUGGGAAGUGGGGGGAGUGAGCAAAAAACUGUGUGGUGCUGAGCUGCUGCUGGGUUAAAACAUAGCACUCAUGACUGUGCUUCACAAGAUCUGUCAUAAACAGGUUCUGGGUUAAAGGAAAUGGCAUAGCUUGUAGCAGCAGCAACGUAAAACCCAGAUCUUAUCCUCAGUGAAUCUGUAAAAUAUUUUGCUGCUGACUUCACUGAGGUCAGAAGUAGACUAUCAAUUUGGUAAACUUGUUUUUAACCAUCAGUCUAGAUUUUCAUCAUUAAAAACAGGGGAAGAUGUGAGCUUGGAGGGUCUACUCCAAACUAGAAAUGUAUCCCUACGACAUCCAAAACUUCAUUCCCAAAUAUUAACGGCCAAUGAAAAGAACAAAUAAAUUCACUACAAAAUAAUAAUUAUUUCAGUCCCUUUGAUUUCAUAAGCUGAAUGCUUUUAUUAGAUAGUAUAUUUGAGUAAUGCUUGAGGAAUUGUUCCAGUAGUAAAAGGAAACACAUAUUCUUCCCUAGUUACAGCUGCAAUGUUGAUAUAAGGCUUUUAACCAACGGUCAGGACAAUGUGUGAAAGUGUCAUGGUAUAAAACAUAACAAGCUGCUGCUUCUCAUUUCUUAGCUAUGUCUGAGUGAAAUGAAAGUUCAUUGGAGAACUUGUGAAUAAACUAUAGGGAAAUAUGAACCUGUAUAGGAGCUUAGAAAUGCUGCACAGAGAUUAUGACAUUGCAAAGUGCUUUUGAGUUUGUUAACGCUACACAGUAAAGCCAAACUGGUAGAAUAAUUAUCUGAUUUUUUUUUUAAUUAGAACUUGUUAGUGUUUCAUAGAUUUCAAUAUCAAUCUAGUACUAAUAUUUUGAAAUCAUAAUGCUCAAGUAGUACUUAAAGUGGAUGCUAUUUUUAGCAGUAAUUACAUUUUUCGAUAGAACUUAACUCCAUGUGACCUCUUUGUAGAGCCAAUAGUAUUUUGCUAAGUUAGCAGCUUUUUGCUAUUUUUCUUGGGGGAGAAGUAUGUUUGUUUAAAAAAAAAUCCUUAAAAAUAUUAUUUCCAGAAUGAAUAGGACAAUAAUAAUCUAAAUAUAGUUGGCUCACUUCUAAUAAUUUUUUCCUCAGAAACAGUUUCCAAGUACAACCACUGGAAAUAGGCAAAUACUAAGAGACUGAUGACAUUCCCUAAAGACUGACAGCUUUUCUUAUUUAUAUAUUUAUAUUACAUAUUUUUACAAAACAUAUGUACAUAUAUACAUGCACAUAUAUUUAUAUUUUUAUAUAUAUUCAUAUAUAUACAUAUGCUGAAAGUUCACUUUUUUUGUCCUUUUCAUCCUCUUUUAG